AUCAAUAAGUUACUAAGGGCGUAUGGGGGAUGCCUUGGCUCUCAGAGGCGAUGAAGGACGUGACUAGCUGCGAAAAGCUACGGGGAGCUGCUAAUGAGCUUUGAUCCGUAGAUGUCCGAAUGGGGAAACCCGUCUGAUUUAUCAGACUUAAAGCUAACCCACUGAACUGAAACAUCUAAGUAAGUGGAGGAAAAGAAAACAAAAGUGAUUCCCUAAGUAGUGGCGAGCGAACGGGGAAGAGUCCAAACCAGCUAUGUUUAGGCAUAUCUGGGGUUGUAGGACUGCAAUAUGUGCUGUUAAAACGAAGUUGAAGGGUCUGGAAAGUCCCAUCACAGAGGGUGAUAAUCCCGUAAACGUAAGGUUUAACACACUAGCAGUAUCCUGAGUAGCGCGGGGUCGGAGAAGCCUUGCGUGAAUCAGCCAGCACCAUCUGGUAAGACUAAAUACUACUGAGAGACCGAUAGCGAACUAGUACUGUGAAGGAAAGGUGAAAAGAAUCUUGAACAAAGAAGUUAAAAGAACCUGAAACCAUACGCUUACAAGCGGUCAGAGCCCUUUAGUGGGGUGAUGGCGUGCCUUUUGCAUAAUGAGCCUACGAGUUACUCCUCACUAGCGAGGUUAAGUCCUGAUGGGACGCAGCCGCAGCGAAAGCAAGUCUGAAUAGGGCGUAUAGUUAGUGGGGGUAGACGCGAAACCUGAGUGAUCUACCCAUGGGCAGGUUGAAGGUACCGUAACAGGUACUGGAGGACCGAACCGAUAAGCGUUGAAAAGCUUCCGGAUGACCUGUGGGUAGGGGUGAAAGGCUAAUCAAACUGGGAGAUAGCUCGUACUCCCCGAAAUGUUUUUUGGAACAGCCUCGAGUAAGAGUGUCGUAGAGGUAGAGCUACCAAUUGGGUGAGGGGGAGUCAAAUCCUACCGAGCUCAGAUGAACUCCGAAUACUACAGACAUGUUUCUCGGGAGUGAGCCCUUGGGUGCUAAGGUCCGAGGGCGAGAGGGAAAGAACCCAGACCAUCAGCUAAGGUCUCCAAAUCUAUACUAAGUUGAACUAACGUGGUCCAGUCGCAAUGACAGCUAGGAUGUUUGCUUGGAAGCAGCCAUUCAUUUAAAGAGUGCGUAACAGCUCACUAGUCGAGCGACCGGGCGUGGAUGAUAAACGGGCAUCAAGUAUAGUACCGAAGCUAUGGAUUUCUAGCAAUAGAAGUGGUAGGGGAGCAUUCUAACAGCUGCGAAGGUGUGUCGUAAGGCAUGCUGGAGCGGUUAGAAAAGCCAAUGUAGGCAUAAGUAACGAUAAGGCGGGUGAGAAACCCGCCCACCGAUAGACUAAGGUUUCCUGAUCAACGUUAAUCGGAUCAGGGUUAGUCGGACCCUAAGGCUAAGCGAUAAAGCAAAGUCGAUGGACAACAGGUUAAUAUUCCUGUACCAAUUGUAAUCUGAUGGAGAGACGCAGAAGUGAAAGUCCCGCGAACUGACGGAAUAGUUCGUUAAAGCUCGUAGAUAUAUCUUUGGUAGGCAAAUCCGCCAGAGAUGUCGAAGGUGAUAGUACCGCAAGUCUUCGGACGCGUGGAUAGUGGACCUAAUCAGGCUGUCAAGAAAAUCUUCUAAGGCUAAAUUACAAUUGACCGUACCUCAAACCGACACAGGUAGUCAAGGAGAGAAUCCUAAGGUGCUCGAGUGAUUCACGGCUAAGGAACUCGGCAAAUUAACCCUGUAACUUCGGGAAAAGGGGUGCCUCCUUCGGGAGGCCGCAGAGAAAUGGCCCAGGCGACUGUUUAUCAAAAACACAUGGCUAUGCAAAAUCGAAAGAUUACGUAUAUGGCCUGACACCUGCCCGGUGCUGGAAGGUUAAGAGGGGAUGUCAGCCGCAAGGCGAAGCAUUGAAUCGAAGCCCCAGUAAACGGCGGCCGUAACUAUAACGGUCCUAAGGUAGCGAAAUUCCUUGUCGGGUAAGUUCCGACCUGCACGAAUGGUGUAACGAUCUGGGCACUGUCUCAGCCGUGAGCUCGGUGAAAUUGUGGUAUCGGUGAAGACGCCGGUUAAUCGCAUCGGGACGGAAAGACCCCAUGCACCUUCACUAUAGCUUAGCAUUGACUUUGGGUAAAUAAUGUGUAGGAUAGGCGGGAGAUUGUGAAGCGGUGUCGCUAGGCAUCGUGGAAUCAACCUUGAAAUACCGCCCUUUAUUUACUUGGAGUCUAACCCAUACUGUGGGGACAUUGCUUGGUGGGUAGUUUGACUGGGGUGGUCGCCUCCAAAAUUGUAUCGGAGGCUUCUAAAGGUCCGCUCAGCACGCUUGGUAACCGUGCGUAGAGUGCAAUAGCAUAAGCGGGCUUGACUGUGAGGCCUACAAGCCGAGCAGGUACGAAAGUAGAGUAUAGUGAUCCGGUGGUUCUGUAUGGAAGGGCCAUCGCUCAUAGGAUAAAAGGUACGCUGGGGAUAACAGGCUGAUCUCCCCCAAGAGCUCAUAUCGACGGGGAGGUUUGGCACCUCGAUGUCGGCUCGUCACAUCCUGGGGCUGGAGAAGGUCCCAAGGGUUGAGCUGUUCGCUCAUUAAAGUGGCACGCGAGCUGGGUUCAGAACGUCGUGAGACAGUUCGGUCCCUAUCUGAUGUGAUCGUUGGAAGUUUGAGAGGAUCUGACCUUAGUACGAGAGGACCGGGUCGGACGUACCUCUGGUGUAUCUGUUGUGGCGCCAGCUGCAUUGCAGAGUAGCUACGUACGGACAAGAUAAGCGCUGAAAGCAUCUAAGCACGAAACUUACCUCAAGAUGAGACUUCCUUUAAGGGCCGUAGAAGACUACUACGUUGAUAGGCUACAGAUGUAAAGACAGUAAUGUCAUAGUCGAGUAGUACUAAUUACCCGUAAACUUAGAUUU
The sequence is a ribosomal RNA, 2869 nucleotides long. It matches the Rfam family "Bacterial large subunit ribosomal RNA". The record is from Rfam.